RNAcentral lists this ribosomal RNA (480 nucleotides) under Triticum aestivum (bread wheat). RNAcentral describes it as "partial small subunit ribosomal RNA". Lineage: Eukaryota; Viridiplantae; Streptophyta; Magnoliopsida; Poales; Poaceae. The record is from RNAcentral.
AUGGCACAAGAGAGCUGGAAGGAGUCUGAGGAGACUGUCCAAACACCUGAGGCACCAAUAUUGUGUGUAAACAACUGCGGCUUCUUCGGUAGCAGCAUGACGAACAACAUGUGCUCCAAGUGCUACAGGGACUUCAUUAAGGCCACGACAAUGGCUGCCCCUGUAGUGGAGAAGGUGUUCUCAGUGGCAUCAUCUUCCAGUGUGACCUUGGAGCAAGCAAAGGCAGAUGAAGUACCAGCCGUGGCUGUAGCUGAUAGCCAAGCAGCACAGGAGCCUCCAAAGCCGCCCAGCAACAGAUGUCUUUCAUGCCGCAAGAAGGUAGGCUUGACCGGUUUCCAGUGCCGGUGCGGGGGAACAUUCUGCUCCAUGCACCGCUACGCUGACUCCCACGAAUGCACUUUCGACUACAAGAAGGCUGGCCGGGAGCAGAUUGCCAAGCAGAACCCUGUUGUGAUAGCCGAGAAGAUCAACAAGAUAUGA